GACGAACGCUGGCGGCGUGCCUAAUACAUGCAAGUAGAACGCUGAAGAGAGGAGCUUGCUCUUCUUGGACGAGUUGCGAACGGGUGAGUAACGCGUAGGUAACCUGCCUUGUAGCGGGGGAUAACUAUUGGAAACGAUAGCUAAUACCGCAUAACAAUAGGUGACACAUGUCAUUUAUUUGAAAGGGGCAAUUGCUCCACUACAAGAUGGACCUGCGUUGUAUUAGCUAGUAGGUGAGGUAACGGCUCACCUAGGCGACGAUACAUAGCCGACCUGAGAGGGUGAUCGGCCACACUGGGACUGAGACACGGCCCAGACUCCUACGGGAGGCAGCAGUAGGGAAUCUUCGGCAAUGGGGGCAACCCUGACCGAGCAACGCCGCGUGAGUGAAGAAGGUUUUCGGAUCGUAAAGCUCUGUUGUAAGUCAAGAACGAGUGUGAGAGUGGAAAGUUCACACUGUGACGGUAGCUUACCAGAAAGGGACGGCUAACUACGUGCCAGCAGCCGCGGUAAUACGUAGGUCCCGAGCGUUGUCCGGAUUUAUUGGGCGUAAAGCGAGCGCAGGCGGUUUGAUAAGUCUGAAGUUAAAGGCUGUGGCUCAACCAUAGUUCGCUUUGGAAACUGUCAAACUUGAGUGCAGAAGGGGAGAGUGGAAUUCCAUGUGUAGCGGUGAAAUGCGUAGAUAUAUGGAGGAACACCGGUGGCGAAAGCGGCUCUCUGGUCUGUAACUGACGCUGAGGCUCGAAAGCGUGGGGAGCGAACAGGAUUAGAUACCCUGGUAGUCCACGCCGUAAACGAUGAGUGCUAGGUGUUGGAUCCUUUCCGGGAUUCAGUGCCGCAGCUAACGCAUUAAGCACUCCGCCUGGGGAGUACGACCGCAAGGUUGAAACUCAAAGGAAUUGACGGGGGCCCGCACAAGCGGUGGAGCAUGUGGUUUAAUUCGAAGCAACGCGAAGAACCUUACCAGGUCUUGACAUCCCGAUGCUAUUUCUAGAGAUAGAAAGUUACUUCGGUACAUCGGUGACAGGUGGUGCAUGGUUGUCGUCAGCUCGUGUCGUGAGAUGUUGGGUUAAGUCCCGCAACGAGCGCAACCCCUAUUGUUAGUUGCCAUCAUUCAGUUGGGCACUCUAGCGAGACUGCCGGUAAUAAACCGGAGGAAGGUGGGGAUGACGUCAAAUCAUCAUGCCCCUUAUGACCUGGGCUACACACGUGCUACAAUGGUUGGUACAACGAGUUGCGAGUCGGUGACGGCAAGCUAAUCUCUUAAAGCCAAUCUCAGUUCGGAUUGUAGGCUGCAACUCGCCUAUAUGAAGUCGGAAUCGCUAGUAAUCGCGGAUCAGCACGCCGCGGUGAAUACGUUCCCGGGCCUUGUACACACCGCCCGUCACACCACGAGAGUUUGUAACACCCGAAGUCGGUGAGGUAACCUUUUGGAGCCAGCCGCCUAAGGUGGGAUAGAUGAUUGGGGUG
RNAcentral lists this ribosomal RNA (1470 nucleotides) under Streptococcus vestibularis. Its description in RNAcentral is "bacterial SSU rRNA". It matches the Rfam family "Bacterial small subunit ribosomal RNA". The record is from RNAcentral. Lineage: Bacteria; Bacillati; Bacillota; Bacilli; Lactobacillales; Streptococcaceae.